Solanum pennellii is the source of this 844-nucleotide long non-coding RNA. RefSeq lists it as uncharacterized. The record is from RefSeq and is a predicted model, not a curated record. Lineage: Eukaryota; Viridiplantae; Streptophyta; Magnoliopsida; Solanales; Solanaceae. The transcript is spliced from 2 exons.
AGAUAAUAGAUACAUAACCUCCCAUCUCCUAACCCACGUUUCUUUUUCCAAUAUUUCACUCCUGAAAUCGCGCCAUAUUUUCUUUCCUAUGAUCUUAUCAUUUUAAUUUUGAAUUUUUUUUUCUCUCUCCAGUCAAAGAAUUUCCCAUUCUUUCUAGGUAUUGUUUCUAUUUCAUUACUUUUGUUCAUAGUUUUUUAAAAAAAGAAUCAAAAUUCUGAUAUGUUUAUGGAGGAUCCUCCUUCAUUUAUCUUAGGUUUUAUUCAGAUAACGUCAUCCGAUAAAUCAUGUUUAUGAACAUGAAGAAGUAUGUUGGGUUGAGAAUAGAUCUAAAAAAUUGUUUGAUUCUCUAGUUAUUGCCAAUGGUGAGUAUCGAGAAGGUGAAGAAGGAUGUGUUUUCUUCUUCAAAAGCAAAGAUUGGGAAAACCCCUAAAAAAAAGGAGUAAAAAAAAUAUCAUCCCCAAUUUCUUGUUCGAAUCUACUCGAGGGAUUGUGGAUUGUUUGUAGCGCGUUUUCUGAAUUUACUAGCGAUGAAAUUAUAAUCCAAUCUGAUGCUUUCUGGUCUGAUUAUCUCUUCUCAAGAUAUUCAGCUUUGCUAAGAAAAUAUGGCAGUCAAAAGGCGCAGAAGGUAUAUUAGUGAUAAUGACGAUCCAUCAAAGCCUAAGCGUCAUUUCAUACCACCAAAUCAUAACGGUUUAGUUUAUCCGGAAUAGUUUCUGUGUAUAGAUGAAUAGACAGUUUUUUUUAGUUAAGUACUACUUUCAAUGUACAUUAACUUAAGUAUUGGAGUGUUUCUCUAAAAACUUAUUUUGUCUGACUUUUAAUGUCAAUAUAUUUUUUUCCUUAA